UACGUAGGGUGCAAGCGUUGUCCGGAAUCAUUGGGCGUAAAGCGCGCGUAGGUGGCUUCGUAAGUCCGUUGUGAAAGUCAAAGGCUCAACCUUGGAAUGCCGAUGGAUACUGCGAAGCUAGAGUACGGAAGAGGUGAGUGGAAUUCCUGGUGUAGCGGUGGAAUGCGCAGAUAUCAGGAGGAACACCAAUAGCGAAGGCGGCUCUCUGGGACGGUACUGACGCUGAGACGCGAAAGCGUGGGGAGCGAACAGG
RNAcentral lists this ribosomal RNA (253 nucleotides) under uncultured bacterium. RNAcentral describes it as "partial 16S ribosomal RNA". It matches the Rfam family "Bacterial small subunit ribosomal RNA", at positions 524 to 776 of the family's 1533-position model. The record is from RNAcentral.